GACGAACGCUGGCGGCGUGCCUAAUACAUGCAAGUCGAACGAGAGCGACCGGUGCUUGCACUGGUCAAUCUAGUGGCGAACGGGUGAGUAACACGUGGGUAACCUGCCCAUCAGAGGGGGAUAACAUUCGGAAACGGAUGCUAAAACCGCAUAGGUCUUUGAACCGCAUGGUUUGAAGAGGAAAAGAGGCGCAAGCUUCUGCUGAUGGAUGGACCCGCGGUGCAUUAGCUAGUUGGUGAGGUAACGGCUCACCAAGGCCGUGAUGCAUAGCCGACCUGAGAGGGUGAUCGGCCACAUUGGGACUGAGACACGGCCCAAACUCCUACGGGAGGCAGCAGUAGGGAAUCUUCCGCAAUGGACGCAAGUCUGACGGAGCAACGCCGCGUGAGUGAAGAAGGUUUUCGGAUCGUAAAACUCUGUUGUUAGAGAAGAACAAGUGCUAGAGUAAC
Molecule: ribosomal RNA, 449 nt
Filed under: Granulicatella adiacens
Lineage: Bacteria; Bacillati; Bacillota; Bacilli; Lactobacillales; Carnobacteriaceae
Description: bacterial SSU rRNA
Rfam family: Bacterial small subunit ribosomal RNA
Source: RNAcentral